CAAAAUUUUCUGGGUCACCAACAGAAAAAGCUAUUCUUGUUUGGGGAGUCAAGCUGUUAGUGAUUAUAAACAGUCUCUUCGGUUCCAAAAUUUGAAUGAGGAGAAGAGAAACAUACAUAUGGAGGUUAUCAGAGGUGGAAAAAGAAUUGAUGUUUCCAUAUAUGAUCUUAUUGUUGGAGAUGUUGUGCCACUCAACAUUGGUGACCAGGUACCUGUUGACAGACUUCUAAUCACUGGUCACUCACUUGCUAUUGAUGAAUCAAGCAUGACCGGAGAAAGAAAUGUUGUAGGCCUCGCGACUCAUCCUUAAAUUUGGCCAAUUGCUUAAUGUUGCCUCUGUUAUUUAAGUAUGAUUAUUGAUUCUGCAUGUAUACAAGAAUUCAAGGGAGCCAUUUCUAAUGUCUGGCUGUAAAGUAGCAGAUGGCAGUGGCACUAUGCUGGUAUGUUUUUAUCUCUUUCUCUUUCCAACCAUAGCAUUUUAUCCUUCUGAAAAAGCAGUUUUCCGUAG
Long non-coding RNA from Mercurialis annua (annual mercury), 508 nucleotides. RefSeq lists it as uncharacterized. NCBI's taxonomy places the organism in Eukaryota, Viridiplantae, Streptophyta, Magnoliopsida, Malpighiales, Euphorbiaceae. The transcript has 4 exons. The record is from RefSeq and is a predicted model, not a curated record.